GUGGGUAUAGCUCAGUGGUAGAGCGUGUGCUUAGAUUGCACAGGUCCUGGGUUUAAUCCCCAGUGCCUCCA
RNAcentral lists this transfer RNA (71 nucleotides) under Camelus bactrianus (Bactrian camel). It matches the Rfam family "tRNA". Rfam says of the family: Transfer RNA (tRNA) molecules are approximately 80 nucleotides in length. Their secondary structure includes four short double-helical elements and three loops (D, anti-codon, and T loops). RNAcentral also lists the same sequence under 2 other names. Lineage: Eukaryota; Metazoa; Chordata; Mammalia; Artiodactyla; Camelidae. The record is from Rfam by way of RNAcentral.